Molecule: ribosomal RNA, 254 nt
Filed under: Escherichia coli
Lineage: Bacteria; Pseudomonadati; Pseudomonadota; Gammaproteobacteria; Enterobacterales; Enterobacteriaceae
Description: partial 23S ribosomal RNA
Rfam family: Bacterial large subunit ribosomal RNA
Source: RNAcentral
GAGAUUCCCCCAGUAGCGGCGAGCGAACGGGGAGCAGCCCAGAGCCUGAAUCGGUGUGUGUGUUAGUGGAAGCGUCUGGAAAGGCGUGCGAUACAGGGUGACAGCCCCGUACACAAAAAUGCACAUACUGUGAGCUCGAUGAGUAGGGCGGGACACGUGGUAUCCUGUCUGAAUAUGGGGGGACCAUCCUCCAAGGCUAAAUACUCCUGACUGACCGAUAGUGAACCAGUACCGUGAGGGAAAGGCGAAAAGAA